Molecule: small nuclear RNA, 104 nt
Organism: Vulpes vulpes (red fox)
Lineage: Eukaryota; Metazoa; Chordata; Mammalia; Carnivora; Canidae
Source: Ensembl
GUGCAGCACAUAUGCUAACAUAUGCUAAAAUUGGAAUGAUACAAAGAUUAGCAUGUUCCCUGCACAAGGGGGACAUGCAAAUUCAUGAAGUAUUCAAUAUUUUU